RNAcentral lists this ribosomal RNA (1175 nucleotides) under Parcubacteria group bacterium 20-58-5. Its description in RNAcentral is "bacterial LSU rRNA". It matches the Rfam family "Bacterial large subunit ribosomal RNA", at positions 652 to 1752 of the family's 2925-position model. The record is from RNAcentral.
CUUACGGGAUGGAGCUUAAGGGAAACCGAGCGUGAAUAGCGCGAUUGUAGGAUAUAUACGACCCGAAGCCAGAUGAGCUUGCCAUGAGCAGGGUGAAGUCUGUCGAAAGACAGAUGGAGGCCCGAACCCGUUGGUCGUACAACGCCUUGGGAUGACUUGUGGCAAGGAGUGAAAAGCUAAUCGAAUCUGGGAAUAGCUGGUUCUCUCCGAAACAGCUUUUGGGCUGGCGUCGCCAUAUACGCGCGCAUGGGGGUAGAGCACUGGAAGGGACCAACAGGGAGAAAUCUCGUGGCCCCUAUCAAACUCCGAAUACCAUGUGCUCGGGCAGCAGUUAGAAGGUGGGGGCGAAGCUCCAUCGAUCGAGAGGGGAAGAGCCCUGAUCGCCAAUUAAGGCCCCUAAAUCGACACUCAGUACUUUACAAGGAAGUGAGGACUCAUUGACAGUGAGGAUGUUGGCUUAGAAGCAGCCAUCAUUUAAAGAAAGCGUAACAGCUCACUCAUCGAGAGUCCUUGCGCCGAAGAUGAUCGGGGUUAAAUGUCGUGCCGAAAUUGCGGGUUCCGGAACAAUACUUUGGAUUUAAAAGUCUGACUUUUUUGAAUGCUUAAAGUCAGACUUUAGAAUUCAAAUCCAAAGUAUUGUUCCGGAGCGGUAGGAGAGUGUUCUGUUCGCGCUGAAGCUUAAGGGGUAACCCAAGGUGGAGCGUACAGAAGUAAGAAUGCCGGUACAAGUAACCACAAUGCGGGUGAGAACCCCGCACGUCGAAAGAUCAAGGUUUCCUCAGCUAUGGUGAUCAACUGAGGGUUAGUCGGGCCUAAGGGGAUGGCGAGAGCCGCACCCGAUGGACACAGGGUUAAUAUUCCCUGACCGUUUCUGGAGGCAAUGGAGUGACGGACUGCUGUAUGUGCUGCCCAUUAUUGGAUUUGGGUCGGCAACACGAGGGCGCGUACUAGGGAAAUCCGGUACGCAUUACCCCGAGUGUUGACGCAAUUUCUUCCUUCGGGGGGAGAGAGAGUGCAAAGCGCGGUUUCAAGAAAAUCUUCUACGCAUCAACUUCAGAGACGACCGUACCGUAAACCGACACAGGUGAUCAGGUCGAGAAGACCAAGACGAACGAGUAAGAUGUCCUCAAGGAACUCGGCAAAAAAGCGGCCGUAAGUUAGCGAUAAGGCCUGCC